UACGUAGGGGGCAAGCGUUGUCCGGAUUUAUUGGGCGUAAAGAGCGUGUAGGCGGCCUGAAAGGUCAGCUGUGAAAACUCGAGGCUCAACCUCGAGACGUCGGUUGAAACCAUCUGGCUAGAGUCCGGAAGAGGAGAGUGGAAUUCCCGGUGUAGCGGUGAAAUGCGCAGAUAUCGGGAAGAACACCCGUGGCGAAGGCGGCUCUCUGGGACGGUACUGACGCUGAGACGCGAAAGCGUGGGG
This 243-nucleotide ribosomal RNA is filed under the name uncultured bacterium. Its description in RNAcentral is "partial 16S ribosomal RNA". It matches the Rfam family "Bacterial small subunit ribosomal RNA", at positions 524 to 766 of the family's 1533-position model. The record is from RNAcentral.